GACGAACGCUGGCGGCGUGCUUAACACAUGCAAGUCGAACGGUGAACUCCGCUUGCGGGGGGAUCAGUGGCGAACGGGUGAGUAACACGUGGGCAACCUGCCCUCAGCUCUGGGAUAACUCCAAGAAAUUGGGGCUAAUACCGGAUAUGACCGCUGACCGCAUGGUCUGGUGGUGGAAAGAUUUAUCGGCUGGGGAUGGGCCCGCGGCCUAUCAGCUUGUUGGUGGGGUAGUGGCCUACCAAGGCGACGACGGGUAGCCGGCCUGAGAGGGUGACCGGCCACACUGGGACUGAGACACGGCCCAGACUCCUACGGGAGGCAGCAGUGGGGAAUAUUGCGCAAUGGGCGAAAGCCUGACGCAGCGACGCCGCGUGGGGGAUGACGGCCUUCGGGUGGUAAACCUCUUUCAGCAGGGACGAAGCGAAAGUGACGGUACCUGCAGAAGAAGCACCGGCCAACUACGU
RNAcentral lists this ribosomal RNA (464 nucleotides) under uncultured bacterium. RNAcentral's name for it is "partial 16S ribosomal RNA". It matches the Rfam family "Bacterial small subunit ribosomal RNA", at positions 28 to 506 of the family's 1533-position model. The record is from RNAcentral.